CUGUACUAAAGGGACUCAACCUGCACGGCUGUGUCCCUGUACUAAAGGGACUCAACCUGCACGGCUGUGUCCCUGUACUAAAGGGGCUCAACCUGUACGGCUGUGUCCCUGUACUAAAGGGACUCAACCUGCACGGCUGUGCUGCGCGGGCUGUGUCCCUGUACUAAAGGGGCUCAACCUGCACGGCUGUGUCCCUGUACUAAAGGGGCUCAACCUGCACGGCUGUGUCCCUGUACUAAAGGGGAUCAACCUGCACGGCUGUGUCCCUGUACUAAAGGGACUCAACCUGUACGGCUGUGUCCCUGUACUAAAGGGGCUCAACCUGUACGGCUCAACCUGUCACUAUACUGAUAAUCCAUCUCUAAAAGGACAUAUUUGGGUGUUUUGGAGCUUUUGUUCACGUCUUUUAUGUGCCCCGAUACUGCACAACGAGCAACGAGCAAUGAGGAAGUGUAUCAUGGCUGGGAGAAACGUAUGAAAAACAAGACAAAUCACACAAAAACUGUCUGGACCCUUCUAGAACAUGCCAUUUACACCAGAAUCAGAGAUCUUAUUCAGAAAUAGGAAAAUGCUCAUUUAACUGUGAUGGGAGUCGUCAACUGGACUACAGUGGUAUGAUGAUGAAACCAGUGGAGGCUGAGAGGAGGACAGCUCAAUAAUAAUGGCUCAAUAAUGGCCGGAACGGAGUAAAUGGAAUGGCAUCCAACCAUGUAUUUACAUACCAUUCCACUGAUUCCGCUCCAGCCAUUACCACAAGCCCGUCCACUCCAGUUAAGGUGCCACCAACCUGUGAAAUUGAAUGAAAUUGUAUUAUACAGCACAUUAUAUCAUAUUAUGUGUCCCAGCUAACAGAUAUUGGUUCCCAGAACACUGGGGAAGUUAUUUCAAACAACCAAAAGAGAACCUUUAGGGAACGUUCUGUGCUAGCUGUGGUGAUAUUGUUUGGUAUGAUGAUAUGACAUUCUCAUGAGACAUGAAGCUGUGAACUAGUCAACAAGACAGUGGUGGAGCUGAGUCUGGUGGCCCCAUUCCAAACGGAUCAUUAGCCCUUACUCCAAGGUUUUUGUUUAAAUACUGAUCCAAUCCAUUUAAAUCUUCUAGUGGGGCCAUCAACAAGGGCCUAAGUAAGGGGCCAGGGUUCAGUUUGAACUUGGGACCUCUUAAGUGCUUGCUAAAGAUCCCAUAGUAAUCAUAAUGGUCAAAAGAGUUGUCUUAGAAUGUGCCUGAAUUGGUGAGGAAUAAACUGUUCUCUACAGAUGACACUUCUACCAGGUGACACUACCUUGUUUCCAUUUCAAGAUUCCUGUGAUUUCAGUUAUUAGAUUUUUUUUAACUGUCAAACGUCCUGGUCUUCUGUAAUGAGAUGAUUCUGCUGCCAUCAGGGGACAAAGGAAGUUCAGUUAGGAAUAAAGACGGCUGAAUGAACACACGCUUGUUUAUUGCUCACCAAAGCUAGCUAGCAUAGUUUGGUGUCAGAAGUGGGAUCCAAAACCCUCGGUUGUCUUAACAAAGGAAUAAGAGUAUUAUUACUAGAGACUGAGAG
This is a long non-coding RNA of Oncorhynchus tshawytscha (Chinook salmon), 1543 nucleotides long. Lineage: Eukaryota; Metazoa; Chordata; Actinopteri; Salmoniformes; Salmonidae. The record is from Ensembl.